This 162-nucleotide unclassified non-coding RNA is filed under the name uncultured Herpotrichiellaceae. RNAcentral describes it as "sequence contains ITS1". The record is from RNAcentral. Lineage: Eukaryota; Fungi; Ascomycota; Eurotiomycetes; Chaetothyriales; Herpotrichiellaceae.
CAGAGUUCAUGCCCUUACGGGUAGAUCUCCCACCCUUUGAUAUAUUUACCUUUGUUGCUUUGGCAGGUCGCGGCCUCCCGCUGCUGGCCCUUGGGCUAGUACGUACCUGCCAGAGGACCCAACUCUUGAUAUUAGUGAUGUCUGAGUACUAUAUAAUAGUUA